This 78-nucleotide transfer RNA is filed under the name Myotis davidii. It matches the Rfam family "tRNA". From Rfam's summary of the family: Transfer RNA (tRNA) molecules are approximately 80 nucleotides in length. Their secondary structure includes four short double-helical elements and three loops (D, anti-codon, and T loops). Lineage: Eukaryota; Metazoa; Chordata; Mammalia; Chiroptera; Vespertilionidae. The record is from Rfam by way of RNAcentral.
GCCAGUAUGGCUCAGUGGUAGAGCAUAGGGCCUGCUCACACACCAAAGAGUCUGGGGUUCAAUUCCCCAUUAAAGGCA